RNAcentral lists this non-coding RNA (130 nucleotides) under Marinobacter nanhaiticus. Its description in RNAcentral is "TPP sequence". It matches the Rfam family "TPP riboswitch aptamer (THI element)". Rfam says of the family: Vitamin B(1) in its active form thiamin pyrophosphate (TPP) is an essential coenzyme that is synthesised by coupling of pyrimidine and thiazole moieties in bacteria. The previously detected thiamin-regulatory element, thi box was extended, resulting in a new, highly conserved RNA secondary structure, the THI element, which is widely distributed in eubacteria and also occurs in some archaea. Analysis of operon structures identified a large number of new candidate thiamin-regulated genes, mostly transporters, in various prokaryotic organisms. The record is from RNAcentral. Lineage: Bacteria; Pseudomonadati; Pseudomonadota; Gammaproteobacteria; Pseudomonadales; Marinobacteraceae.
CUGAGUCGCCGGGGGAGUCCGUCUAGCGGACUGAGAAGGCAUCGAGCGCCGUCGUUUAACGACGCGUCUGAGGAAACCCUGGAACCUGAUCCGGUUGAUACCGGCGGAGGAAGCGCGACAUGAUCUUUAC